Molecule: long non-coding RNA, 1686 nt
Filed under: Apteryx owenii (little spotted kiwi)
Lineage: Eukaryota; Metazoa; Chordata; Aves; Apterygiformes; Apterygidae
Description: lncRNA (ENSAOWG00000007571.1)
Source: RNAcentral
CAAAGUUAUUCAGCAGAUGAGCUGCUGAGCUGAGGAUACAACCCAAGUCUCUAGUGUCUUAGACCGUGCCCUAUUCAUUAGGUGAUCCUGCCUCUGUUUUCACACCAUCACUGUCCUCAUCUGCCUGCUGGUGUCAGGGCUCUUGUUACACGAGCAUUUUGUGGGCUAGCAGAGCUUCCCUGGCUUUUCUCAAAACAGCCCUCCCACAAGUCUCGCUGGGAGGUCUCGCUAUUUUAAGCAUUGGCCAAAGUCUCUGCUCAAGCCUAAACUUGCCUCCUGUCCAAGCUGGAUACAACUCCACAAUUAGACACACAAUUAGUGUGAUUUCUGGACAACAUCGGAGCCUGUCCUGCUGGGGUCGCUCUGCUGGUUGGGUAGGGUUGGAGGAAGGGGUGGAAGGAUUAACGUACAGAUAAUGCCCAGGGUCUGGAGACCGGAGCCCUGAGACCGCAGAGGCAAGCGUGUGCCAAGGCCCGAUGGACUUGUUUCACCUCACAAAUGCCAGCCCUUUGGAGCGUGACAGAGCUCUUCCUGACACUGUGGCUUGCCUCUCCCCUGUGUAGAGAGGAUUUAAGCAAAAGGAUGAUAAAAAUGCUGGGAGGCAGCGCUUAUUGCUUCCGUGGAAGCUAACAUUGACAUGUGGUGAUUUUCUGAGGUUUUUGUACAGCAGUGGGGGAGAAAAACAGGAAAUAAUGGAGAGGAUUAGAAUGUGAUUACAAAGCUGUAGCACUGACAGCUGAUCAGGGUGAUGUGGUAAUAUAAGCAGAAAUGCUUGUGAAGGGAAAGGAGGGCCUGAGAGCUGCUCGGGUGGGAGCAAGGUGAAUUGCUCAAAAGCUUGCACUAAAAGGCACGGGAUUGCUUGCAGGGGGUACAAGAUCACGUGCAGGAGAAGGAGGGAUGACGCGGGGGGAAUCCUAUAGCAGGUGCCGCAAGGAGUCCUGAGCCAGUCGUGCGAGAGGCGUCUCGAGGGUCUGAGCGAGGGAAAAGCAGCGCCGAGUCACUUGUGGCAAGUCCAGGGUCGCUCAGAAGGGGAGAAAGGAGGCUCCUGGAUCAGUGGUUGGUACCUGCAUGGGGUCAUUCUGGGGCACAGGCACGGAAUAAGAAUGCGUUGGGCUCCCAGAAGUGGAGGAAAGAGAUGACAGAAAGUUUCAGUGUGUUCCAACACUGCUACAGUCAAACAGCACAGACUUCGCUUGCCUGUGUGGUUUCACAGGACUGUGCAUCUGCAGAAUUUCUCCUCGCAUACUACAAGAACUUGCUGAACAGUCUGUGUUCUGCGACGUUCCUGUCACUGUAGUCCCUUCCUUCUCCUAGCAAUUACAGCCAACAGGAACACGCAAUGUAAUCCCACCAAGAACUGCUCCAAGUGCUGUCAGCAAGCAGAUGGCAGGUACAGUUUACGGACYGGAUUGCGAUCUAGAUCAUUUUCAACAUCCACUAUUUUAAUAUCUAAAUAGUCCCAGCACUGAGCCAUAUCAUGGGGCCUUUCCCACUGCCUGCAAGAAAGAUUCCCAUCUUGUCAGGACAGAGCAAGUCUUGCCUGGCAUCUUAACCGCCCACAAAAAUUAGUCAGCCGGUAACUAGUAGAGCAUGGCUUCACCCCAGCUUACAACAUUUUUUAUCUUGGGCAGCAUUCAAAGGUAAGAGACACUUCUUUUAAUGUUGAAAAUGUCAAAGAAACAACCU